ACCCAGGCCCGUAGGAGCCCCUCUGCCGCGCACGCCCUCGGGAGCUGGGGUCCCGCGCAUGCGCUGUCUGCGGGUCCCUGCGCGCGCCUGCACGGAUCCACCUGCCAGGGACCACCGUUGCUGGGGGCGCCCUGCCCACCCCAAACGGCCCUGCGUCGCGCCCGCCCCGAAGGUGGGAUCCUCCAGUCCCGCUGAGCCCACCCUUGAAGUUCCUCGUGCAGCCCCUCCUGGGACAGUGGCAGACUGAGGGCAGCAGCGGCGGGGACUGGCCCGGACCCGACAGGUCAUGGUCUCAGGGAAGCCGGCAGCGAGAGCCACUUCCUACACUGCAGACUGUGGGUCAGGUCUCACCGGGCUAUUCUGGCCGUUUGCCUGGAGGGCCCCAAAGUGCCAUCUCCUCCAUUCUGGGCACCUGGCUGGACCAGUACUCGGAGGACUUCUGUCAGCCCCCAGACUUUCCCUGCCUCAAGCAGCUGGUGGCCUAUGUGCAGCUCAACAUGCCCGGUUCAGACCCAGAGCACC
Molecule: long non-coding RNA, 522 nt
Organism: Lutra lutra (Eurasian river otter)
Lineage: Eukaryota; Metazoa; Chordata; Mammalia; Carnivora; Mustelidae
Exons: 3
Source: RefSeq, a predicted model, not a curated record